UGUGGAAAAUGAAAUUACAGAUACCGUGAAAUGAACUUUCAAUACAUUUCAAUUCGUUAAAGUUAAGAAAGUUGCAAACAUGUUAAGAUGGUUAAUCGUUCUGUGUUUAAUACACAUAUCCCUGUCGAUGCACGUGGAAAUAGUAACCUCCAAGUAUCCCACUCCGGUGCAUUAUGAAAAUAAAAAAAUGAAAGUUAGAAUACCUAUAAUAAUAGGACGUAGAAUUCAACCGCAAAAUGUUGAUAAAUUCGUUGAAAAUCAAGGAUACAAACGGAAUAACGAAUUAAUAAAGAAAGCAGCAAGAAACAUAGAAAAUGUUUGUAUAGAUGUAGGAAUGAUUGACAAAAAUAAUGAUAUUCAUUCUAGAAAACGUGACUCAAGUAAUAAAGAAUCAUUACAUUCAGCCGUUAGUAAAAUGGCUGUGGAUUUAUCAAACACGAAACGUUGGUUAAAUCUAAAUCCUCGUAAAGUUAAAAAGCAAAAAGGUAAAGGAACAGAAAACUCUCGAAGGCAAAGCGAUUACAUGGACGCGCGUAAUGAUAUGGUGCUGAUGAAGCAUUUAAAGAAACUGCGAAAGAACAAAGUAAGAAGAGACGAUAGAGAAGAAGAGUUACAGUACGAUUUCGAUGAAGAGGAAUUAAAUUAUGAAUGAAAUACAUAAUAUACACGCAAAGCACAUAUA
Molecule: long non-coding RNA, 682 nt
Organism: Pieris brassicae (large cabbage white)
Lineage: Eukaryota; Metazoa; Arthropoda; Insecta; Lepidoptera; Pieridae
Exons: 2
Source: RefSeq, a predicted model, not a curated record